This 439-nucleotide ribosomal RNA is filed under the name uncultured bacterium. RNAcentral describes it as "partial 16S ribosomal RNA". It matches the Rfam family "Bacterial small subunit ribosomal RNA", at positions 339 to 795 of the family's 1533-position model. The record is from RNAcentral.
CUACGGGACGCUCCAGUGAGGAAUAUUGCACAAUGGGGGGAACCCUGAUGCAGCAACGCCGCGUGGAGGAUGACGCAUUUCGGUGUGUAAACUCCUUUUAUAUGUCAAGAAAAUGACGGUAGCAUAUGAAUAAGCACCGGCUAACUCCGUGCCAGCAGCCGCGGUAAUACGGAGGGUGCAAGCGUUACUCGGAAUCACUGGGCGUAAAGGACGCGUAGGCGGGUUGGAAAGUCAGGUGUGAAAUCCUACAGCUUAACUGUAGAACUGCACUUGAAACUGGUAACCUAGAGUAUGGGAGGGGGAGAUGGAAUUAGUGGUGUAGGGGUAAAAUCCGUAGAUAUCACUAGGAAUACCUAAAGCGAAGGCGAUCUCCUGGAACAUAACUGACGCUAAGGCGUGAAAGCGUGGGGAGCAAACAGGAUUAGAUACCCGCGUAGUC